AACGAACGCUGGCGGCAUGCCUAACACAUGCAAGUCGAACGAGAUCUUCGGGUCUAGUGGCGCACGGGUGCGUAACGCGUGGGAAUCUGCCCUUUGGUUCGGAAUAACAGUUGGAAACGACUGCUAACACCGGAUGAUGACGAAAGUCCAAAGAUUUAUCGCCAGAGGAUGAGCCCGCGUAGGAUUAGCUAGUUGGUGUGGUAAAAGCCUACCAAGGCGACGACGGGUAGCUGAACUGAGAGGUUGAUCAGCCACGCUGGGACUGAGACACGGCCCAGACACCUACGGGUGGCAGCAGUGAGGAAUCGUGCGCAAUGGGCGAAAGCCUGACGCCGCGACACCGCGUGAGGGAAGAAGCUCUUCGGAGUGUAAACCUCUUUUUUGUGGGACGAUUAUGACGGUACCAUAAGAAUAAGCCACGGCAAACUUCGUGCCAGCCGCCGCCGUAA
RNAcentral lists this ribosomal RNA (449 nucleotides) under uncultured bacterium. RNAcentral describes it as "partial 16S ribosomal RNA". It matches the Rfam family "Bacterial small subunit ribosomal RNA", at positions 29 to 523 of the family's 1533-position model. The record is from RNAcentral.